Molecule: long non-coding RNA, 1121 nt
Organism: Canis lupus familiaris (dog)
Lineage: Eukaryota; Metazoa; Chordata; Mammalia; Carnivora; Canidae
Exons: 3
Source: RefSeq, a predicted model, not a curated record
CCCAGCUCCAAACCCCCUGAGCGGGCAACUAGCUCGACUGUCCCAGUAAGGCCGGCGGUUGACAGGCGGUAGCAGUCCAGAAGCAGAGCCGACCUCAGGGCAGGCUAGAUCCAGGGACUCAGGAGACAUCGAGGACCAAGCUCAGGGCGGACACCAUCAUGAGGCUGGCUCCCCCCGGGGUCGGAGGAAAGCUGCCAUCAGCAACUGGAUCUACGCGCUUCUGCAUUCAGAGAGAGAACGAAGGCCUCUUCACCAAUCACAAGACCAAAGCCCUGAGCUUUGCCGUGAUUAGACCAAGCCCUAUCAUGAGCCUAACCUGCAAUCAGUCACAGGUAAAGAAACUGGCCCAUCUACUCAGGCCUAGUCUCUCAGAGACCAGCAGAUGUUAGGCCUCUAAUCUGCAGUGGUAUUAAGUAACCAAAUAGUGUGAGAAUCUUGUGCCUGUCCAGCUAACAGGAUAAUACUCACCUCUCAGAGCUCCGAGAUCUGCUUGCUCACUUUGGGUGUUUUUCCCCCCCUAAGUCUUGCUGAGUUAACAUUUAUACUAACUCGCCUGAAAUCAAACUGUCGAGAUCACAUCUUCACCUGAUUGCAAUGACCUUCUUAGCUGACCCUUGACUAAUUUAACCCCUGUCCUCAUGCUCCAAUUAAAAUCGCAUCAAAUAGGUGAAAUUAGAUUUUCCUUUGCAUUUUGUGCAAGCUCUCCUUACCUCGGCAGCUCUAAGUGUCUUAGGUUCUUACUCAGGUCGCCCAGUUAGGGUUUUGAGACCUCACACAGUAUAUUACAUGGCAUCUCCACUCACUCAGUCCUGAUUUAUGAGCAGCUACCACUUGGUGGGUGAGCCAGGGUGUUAGUCAGCCACCCACUUCCUGGGGUCAUGGGGAGAAUUAGUGAAGUCACACGUGCAGCAGCUGUUGUCUCUGACAUUAGUGUGCAAAGCACAGCUCCAGGAGCUAGUGAACACACACCACGGUGUCCACAGGCCACUGCUACCAACGAGCUUAUCUGGACAGGGGAAGUAAGUACAAAAAAGUCGAUCUAAUACAGGGCAUAGUUUAAGUACCUUAAAAGAAGUAGGGGGAAAAAAAAGAAAGUAGGAAUGGGAAUGAAAGACAUACAA